Molecule: ribosomal RNA, 496 nt
Filed under: uncultured bacterium
Lineage: Bacteria
Description: partial 16S ribosomal RNA
Rfam family: Bacterial small subunit ribosomal RNA
Source: RNAcentral
AUGAACGCUGGCGGCGUGCCUAAUCCAUGCAAGUCGAGCGAACAGACGAGGAGCUUGCUCCUCUGACGUUAGCGGCGGACGGGUGAGUAACACGUGGAUAACCUACCUAUAAGACUGGGAUAACUUCGGGAAACCGGAGCUAAUACCGGAUAAUAUAUUGAACCGCAUGGUUCAAUAGUGAAAGACGGUUUUGCUGUCACUUAUAGAUGGAUCCGCGCCGCAUUAGCUAGUUGGUAAGGUAACGGCUUACCAAGGCAACGAUGCGUAGCCGACCUGAGAGGCGGACGGGCGACACUGGAACUGAGACAAGGGCAAGACUCCUACGGGAGGCAGCAGUGGGGAAUGUUGGAAAAUGGGCGAAAGCCUGAUCCAGCAAUGGCGAGUGGGUGAAGAAGGUUUUCGGGUUGUAAAGCACUGUUGUCAGGAAAGAAAUGGCUCGGGUUAAUACCUGGGGUGGAUGACGGUACCGGAAGAAUAAGAACCGGCUAACUACGUG